CGACAGUAGUCCAUAAAAAAAUGGGUCAUUUGGCGUUCCGUAGGUUGCCGUCAAGGACUUAGUCAUUUGGACUCUCUUCUAGCAGUUAUUGGAGUUUGCAUUAGGGGAUAUGGAGCUGAAAGUAAGAUAGAAUGUAGCACCAGUAGGGUGAUCGAACUUAUACAAAAUGCCAGGAAGUUAUCAUCUCAAGUAUACCGAAAGUCAAACAAAUUUUCUGAUUUGGAAGCAAAAACUUCUGCCAAGACGUCUGUGUCUGUAAGUUGACCAGAUAAACAUUUUUGUGAUGUAGUCGGCAACUUAGAAGAAAAAAUUUCCUCUUUGUCUGAUGCAGUCGAAAAAUUUGUCCCUCAAAUUCCCGAAUAAGUUGUUCUUUAAUUGGAUGUUGAAUUGACGUUAUUUCAAAUUUACAACUCAGUUUUGUUUAAUUCUUUUGUACUUUGAUUUUUUUUAAAAUUUGUAACAAACUUUGUCUCGCGACUCAUUGUUGUCUCAAUAAAUUUCCAUCAUACAG
Long non-coding RNA from Daphnia magna, 511 nucleotides. RefSeq lists it as uncharacterized. Lineage: Eukaryota; Metazoa; Arthropoda; Branchiopoda; Diplostraca; Daphniidae. The transcript is spliced from 2 exons. The record is from RefSeq and is a predicted model, not a curated record.